Fukomys damarensis (Damara mole-rat) is the source of this 398-nucleotide long non-coding RNA. RefSeq lists it as uncharacterized. The record is from RefSeq and is a predicted model, not a curated record. NCBI's taxonomy places the organism in Eukaryota, Metazoa, Chordata, Mammalia, Rodentia, Bathyergidae. The transcript has 3 exons.
AACGGGGAUAAAGGCUGGGUUUUAAGGGAAGGGAGGCUCCCGGAAAGACGUGCUUUGGCUGAAGAGGCCGCCCACUGGCUGCUGUCGCGGUUCAGGACUCCUCGGUCUGACCGAAAGCGGAGGAAGGGCCGAACCCGGCCCUCGGACCCUCUUAAGGGAAGCCGGCCGCCUCCACCUUCAGACCUGGGGAGAGGAGAGGGCGCUGCCUCUGCUCUGUGACUUUGAAAAAGGUGUCAAGGCUCGGUGUAGACCUCAGCUCCCCCAAGCCCGCCCGCCCUGCACCUCAAGAUGCUCUAUCCCCAGGACAGACACACAGACGCUCAGCGAGGAUCAAAGAUCUUUAAAUAAGGAGCCAGUGACAAUAAAUACUGUACAGGGGAAAGGUGAGGGUCCAUAUC